GACGAACGCUGGCGGCGUGCUUAACACAUGCAAGUCGAACGGAAAGGCCCUGCUUUUGUGGGGUGCUCGAGUGGCGAACGGGUGAGUAACACGUGAGUAACCUGCCCUUGACUUUGGGAUAACUUCAGGAAACUGGGGCUAAUACCGGAUAGGAGCUCCUGCUGCAUGGUGGGGGUUGGAAAGUUUCGGCGGUUGGGAUGGACUUGCGGCUUAUCAGCUUGUUGGUGGGGUAGUGGCUUACCAAGGCUCUGACGGGUAGCCGGCCUGAGAGGGUGACCGGCCACAUUGGGACUGAGAUACGGCCCAGACUCCUACGGGAGGCAGCAGUGGGGAAUAUUGCACAAUGGGCGGAAGCCUGAUGCAGCAACGCCGCGUGCGGGAUGACGGCCUUCGGGUUGUAAACCGCUUUCGCCUGUGACGAAGCGUGAGUGACGGUAAUGGGUAAAGAAGCACCGGCUAACUACGUG
This 467-nucleotide ribosomal RNA is filed under the name uncultured bacterium. RNAcentral's name for it is "partial 16S ribosomal RNA". It matches the Rfam family "Bacterial small subunit ribosomal RNA", at positions 28 to 507 of the family's 1533-position model. The record is from RNAcentral.